Molecule: ribosomal RNA, 2973 nt
Filed under: Triticum aestivum (bread wheat)
Lineage: Eukaryota; Viridiplantae; Streptophyta; Magnoliopsida; Poales; Poaceae
Description: partial small subunit ribosomal RNA
Source: RNAcentral
UUUCAAAACCGGUUAGACGAGGCACGUAAGGCGCAGGUUAGGAUCGGAGCGGAGCAGGGUGAGGGUGAGGGUAAGAUCGGCGGUCUUCUUGGGAUGGGGGGAACGGGUUACGGGGGGCUAGGGGUAUCGGUGGCGUGCCGGAGAGAGGAGGAAGGGAGGGCGGCGAGGGAGAGGAACGAGCGUCGACGGAGGAAGGGUGGAGACGGGCUCGAGGCGGAAGGAGUGGGCGGAGGAGGAGGAACGGUAGCCGUCUUCGGAGUUCGGUGCCGUAGUGGCGGUGGUCUAGGUGGAGCGUUGGAGAGAAGGAGGGGACAGACUGACGACGCACCAGCGCAGUCCGGGUACGGCCCCGGCAGCGGUGCCGACGUCGGCGGCGGCGACCUACCGAGGCAGCCAGGGAGGGCGAGGUCUAGCUUUUGACUCUCUCGCUGCCCUCCCUUCUUCCCCUAGCCCCCUCCCAUCUCGUGCCCUCUCUUCCGCUCGAGCGCCGACUGGCGUCACACACUCCGCCUGCCCACUCUUUGUAAACACCAGCACGGCAACCGCUGACCUCUAAACCUUACGCCGGCACCGGUACCCGCCAGGACCUCGACCUAGCGCACACACGACGGAGGUUGGACGAAACGACGAGGACGCUAGAGUUCUGCACACGUCUAGACUCCUGCUUCCCUUCUUAUUCUUCUUAAAUCGAUCUCUAGACUUCUUCUAGUUCCACUAAAAAGAGGGAGGACAAUUCGAAACAAUAGAGUAAAACUACGAUAACAAACACUAACUACAUUUGUACUCCUUCUAUUCUCUAGUGUUGCUCCGAUUUACUCUAAACACCACUGGUUUUAAGAAAGAAACAAAUGGAUGUCUUGAAAUAACGUGAUAACUAAUACAUGAUAAAAGGAAAGGAUUUCCUUCUACGGCUCAGUACAUUGUAGAAAUUUCUUCUCUCUUAGACGUAAAACAAGUACACGAAAGUCAAUCCCACCUAAACACAAAAGUCUUUACUCCGUUGGAAUGUACAUGUAUAAGUGUAUAAAGGAAAUAUUGUGAUGGUCGUGUGUACUCAAGAACACAAAAAUCUCGAAGUACCUUUGUCCUAAGCCACGACGGGUGAAUCAGAAAAAAACGUCUAUAUAAAGGAAAUAGUGAGGGGGUCAUCUGCACUCAAGAACACCGCCCCAAAAAGUACGGCAGUACAAUCCUUAAAUAAUAGCCUAACAUCUACUCCAGGAAGAAGUCAAGUCGAUGCGACCCGUGACAAAGGUGAAGAACAAAGAAUGAAUAAGUACACGAAAGUCAAUCCCGCCUAAACACAAAAGUCUUUACUCCGUUGGAAUGUACGUGUAUAAGUGUAUAAAGGAAAUAUUGUGAUGGUUGUCUGUACUCAAGAACACAAAAAUCUCGAAGUACCUUUGUCCUAAGCCACGAAGGGUGAAUCAGAAAAAAACGUCUAUAUAAAGGAAAUAGUGAGGGGGUCGUCUGCACUCAAGAACACCGCCCCAAAAAGUACGGCGGUACAAUCCUUAAAUAAUAGUCUAACAUCUUCCGGUUUUUUCCGCCUCUGCUCAGUACCUAGGACGACCGUUACCGAUGACCAACAUCUACCUUAAAUUCGUCUCCUUAGCGUUUUCAACACGGGGUACUCCGAUCGCUGGUUUCCGGGCUAAACAAAGGCAACUUCGAAUACAAGUCGAACCGGGAAGUAGACCCACAUACCAAUAGGAGUAGAGAUAUGCGCGUACGUACCUGCUCGAAGUCAGACUACUCCUCUUUUGUUAGUACAACUCAAAAUUAGUCUUGUCCACCUGUUGGUACAUUUUCCAACCUUCUUGACAAGAUAAAAACGUAGACGUUGGUCGACGACGACGAGUUCUAAACGAGAGGAAAAGGUUACGUACAUCAUGUAGUACUUCACCGUCCGACCUUCUUCAGGUUUCGGUCAAAGGCAGCCUACUCUUAAGUAUCGUAGUAACACUCUACCUCAGCUAAGUUCGUAGUGUACAACCUUUAUGACGUGGUAUCACUGUAUUCCCCGUAGCGUAAGUCCUUUGGAUUACUAAGGUAUAUGUGGAAGGGUUACGGACUAACGUAUACGGUUGUUCUACCUUAUACUAGAUCCGCAAUCGUAUGUAUUGACUCCCUACGUAUAGGAGACGGAAACACGUUGUUUCCGUGGUUUCCGUACCGUAACAACUGACGUACUAGUCCUAAACUACCAGUACUACUUUUGACCUCACUUUAUUUCGUAAACCGCGAAGAGUCCUCUAAGAAUUUGGGAGACCGUAUGGGGUUUGGCAAGCUAAGACCUAUAUUACCAGUUUUCCACGGAUUACUGUUACUAAAGGUAUCCUAAUCUUUAACUCUCCUACGCUCCCUAAAACAUUUCAAUCAUUAGACAUCCAUCAGGUGGUAUAUCGUUAGAGGUAAACAAGUUACCCAACACCUAUACUCAUGUUGGACUCACGGAGCUACAUAUAAGCUUUUGUUGUUUCUUUCCUUUAAAAGUCAUAUAGUAAUGAGUAGUCACGAACAAGAGCGUAAAGUAGAACGGGAACUGUCAAGUAUAAAUACUCGUACAAGACUGUCAAGUCUGGAUUGUAAGAAAAAAGAAAGGAACCCGUGAAGGAGUUCUUAGAACAACUCCACAGACAAAGGGGAGAAACAAAGUACUUACUAACACUACCGACGUCCCAGAAGCGUUCCUCAACUUCCGUAUAUUUUUGGUACCUAGGAAACGAGGAAUCCGGCGUUUUACUAGUGUCACUACAGAUGCUGGAGGAGGAGCUACAUAAUUAGAGUUAGAGUACAAACCAAAAGAAGGGAAAAGAGAAGAUUACUACAUUAAAGAAAAUGAUUAUAUUGUGGUACAUAGGAAAAAGAUGAAACUUACUUAAAUGGCAUACAUAAAGAAUAAAUCAAAUCAAGUAGUAAGUCUCUGCCACCUUAUAAAAACAGGAAGUGUCCAAUUUACUCGUAACACAU